GGGCGCAUAGCUCAGUGGGAGAGCACCUGCCUUACAAGCAGGGGGUCGCAGGUUCAAAUCCUGCUGCGCCCAC
RNAcentral lists this transfer RNA (73 nucleotides) under Actinobacteria bacterium ADurb.Bin444. RNAcentral's name for it is "tRNA-Val". It matches the Rfam family "tRNA". Rfam says of the family: Transfer RNA (tRNA) molecules are approximately 80 nucleotides in length. Their secondary structure includes four short double-helical elements and three loops (D, anti-codon, and T loops). The record is from RNAcentral. Lineage: Bacteria; Bacillati; Actinomycetota.